AGGACGAACGCUGGCGGCGUGCCUAACACAUGCAAGUGGAGCGACGAACCAGGCUUCGGCCUGGGGCAGAGCCGCGAACGGGUGCGUAACACGUGGGAAUCUGCCAAACAGUUUGGGCCAAAUCCUGAAUGAAUGAAAGCUAAAAAGCGCUGUUUGAUGAGCCCACGUAGUAUUAGGUAGUUGGUUAGGUAAAAGCUGACCAAGCCUACGAUGCUUAGCUGGUCUUUUCGGAUGAUCAGCCACACUGGGACUGAGACACGGCCCAGACUCCUACGGGAGGCAGCAGUGGGGAAUCUUGGACAAUGGGCGAAAGCCUGAUCCGGCAAUAUGGCGUGAGUGAAGAAGGGCAACGCAGCUUGUAAAGCUCUUUCAUCGAGUGUGCGAUUGUGACAAGACUUGAAUAAGAAGCCCCGGCUAACUCCGCGCCAGCAGCCGC
Molecule: ribosomal RNA, 436 nt
Filed under: uncultured bacterium
Lineage: Bacteria
Description: SSU rRNA
Rfam family: Bacterial small subunit ribosomal RNA
Source: RNAcentral